RNAcentral lists this ribosomal RNA (550 nucleotides) under Klebsiella pneumoniae. RNAcentral describes it as "bacterial LSU rRNA". It matches the Rfam family "Bacterial large subunit ribosomal RNA", at positions 1374 to 1908 of the family's 2925-position model. Lineage: Bacteria; Pseudomonadati; Pseudomonadota; Gammaproteobacteria; Enterobacterales; Enterobacteriaceae. The record is from RNAcentral.
GCAGGGUGAGUCGACCCCUAAGGCGAGGCCGAAAGGCGUAGUCGAUGGGAAACAGGUUAAUAUUCCUGUACUUGGUGUUACUGCGAAGGGGGGACGGAGAAGGCUAUGUUAGCCGGGCGACGGUUGUCCCGGUUUAAGCAUGUAGGCUGAUUGUCCAGGCAAAUCCGGAUAAUCAAGGCUGAGGUGUGAUGACGAGGCACUACGGUGCUGAAGUAACAAAUGCCCUGCUUCCAGGAAAAGCCUCUAAGCAUCAGGUAACAUCAAAUCGUACCCCAAACCGACACAGGUGGUCAGGUAGAGAAUACCAAGGCGCUUGAGAGAACUCGGGUGAAGGAACUAGGCAAAAUGGUGCCGUAACUUCGGGAGAAGGCACGCUGGUGUGUAGGUGAAGCCCCUGCGGGUGGAGCUGAGACCAGUCGAAGAUACCAGCUGGCUGCAACUGUUUAUUAAAAACACAGCACUGUGCAAACACGAAAGUGGACGUAUACGGUGUGACGCCUGCCCGGUGCCGGAAGGUUAAUUGAUGGGGUUAUCCGUAAGGAGAAGCUCU